Molecule: long non-coding RNA, 320 nt
Organism: Oncorhynchus tshawytscha (Chinook salmon)
Lineage: Eukaryota; Metazoa; Chordata; Actinopteri; Salmoniformes; Salmonidae
Source: Ensembl
GGCUGCUGUAGUGUGUUGUUGCUAGGUGGGGUGAAGCUGAGGGCUGCUGUAGUGUGUUGUAGCUAGGUGGGGUGAAGCUGAGGUCUGCUGUAGUGUGUUGUAGCUAGGUGGGUUGAAGCUGAGGUCUGCUGUAGUGUGUUGUUGCUAGGUGGGGUGAAGCUGAGGGCUGCUGUUGUGUGUUGUAGCUAGGUGGGGUGAAGCUGAGGUCUGCUGUAGUGUGUUGUUGCUAGGUGGGGUGAAGCUGAGGGCUACUGUAGUGUGUUGUAGCUAGGUGGGGUGAAGCUGAGGUCUGCUGUAGUGUGUUGUUGCUAGGUGGGGUG